GACACAAGAAACACCACAUUCAAUGAUUAGUAGGAGCCCUUUGUAUCGCUGUGAGGUUGGACAUACUCCAGAAUGUUCUCUAAAGGUGGUUCCAUCUUCUUGCUAAUUAAAGACUGGAAUGAAUGGCUUUAUCUACGUAUUCUGGAGACCUAAAUGUUGCUUUCAGGAAGAUGACUGGCUGCUUACAAGAGGAGUAAUGGGAAGUACAGUGACAAAACUUCCAUUAUAUAGGAAAAAUAAGUCCCAAAUCUCAGAGUAGGCAAGAAGUUUCCCUGUCAGACUCAGUAUCUUUCUAGAUCCCACUUCCUCCAUUGCUGUCCCCUACUACCUUACUGUCCAUUUAACUUCAUUGUAGACCCUGCUGUUUCCCUCCCAUGUUUCCACCCCGUACUUUGAUAUUACACUUAAUGACAUCAUGAUUUUUUUUUAAUCAACACCCUGGUCUCUUGAUUGCUUAACCUUUUGACUUCCAAUGACCUUCACUUCAACCGCAUUGUAGGAGGAGCCUACAAACUUGGAUCACAGUAUAAAGCAGAAUUGAUUUAUCUCCAGUGCCCAAAAACAAAACACUUCUUUCAGAGGAAUCUUUGAUUCAUUGUAAGAUCUGAAAUAAAAGUAUAUUUAAGACAGAAUUGAGGCAUAAUCAAAUGUAUAAGAGAAUUAUCUUAAAUUUUAAGAAUUUACUUUGAAAUAAAGCAAACCGAAUGAAUAGCAUUGAUCAAAAGUAGAAGUGACUCAUGGUAGGAAACUAAAGUCAUCAUGAAAGGGAGGAAGAGAGGAAAUCUAAAACCAUCUAGACUCUAGCAAGAUCAUGAGGACGCUUCCCAGAAUGGUGAAGCCAUGUUCUGACCCUUUAAUUUUUUCCUGGUAGAAUUUCUGCAUAUACAUAUGCAGCAACAUCAAAUACUG
Molecule: long non-coding RNA, 909 nt
Filed under: Marmota monax (woodchuck)
Lineage: Eukaryota; Metazoa; Chordata; Mammalia; Rodentia; Sciuridae
Source: RNAcentral